Molecule: ribosomal RNA, 265 nt
Filed under: uncultured soil bacterium
Lineage: Bacteria
Description: partial 16S ribosomal RNA
Rfam family: Bacterial small subunit ribosomal RNA
Source: RNAcentral
AGAGUGAACGCUGGCGGUAGGCCUAACACAUGCAAGUCGAACGGCAGCACAGUGGUAGCAAUACCAUGGGUGGCGAGUGGCGGACGGGUGAGGAAUACAUCGGAAUCUACCUUUUCGUGGGGGAUAACGUAGGGAAACUUACGCUAAUACCGCAUACGCCCUUCGGGGGAAAGCCGGGGAUCGCAAGACCUGGCGCGGAUAGAUGAGCCGAUGUCGGAUUAGCUAGUUGGUGAGGUAAUGGCUCACCAAGGCGACGAUCCGUAGC